Molecule: non-coding RNA, 135 nt
Organism: Triticum aestivum (bread wheat)
Lineage: Eukaryota; Viridiplantae; Streptophyta; Magnoliopsida; Poales; Poaceae
Source: Rfam
AAAGUACUCCCUCCGUCCCAAAAUUCUUGUCUUAGAUUUGUCUAGAUACGGAUGUAUCAAGUCACAUUUUAGUAUUAGAUACACCCGUAUCUAGACAAAUCUAAGACAAGAAAUUUCAGACAGAGGGAGUAGUUG